CCCCAGCAAGCAAGGAAAGUGGCAGCCUGUAUUGGGAUGCCAGCCCAAAAGUGGUGCUGAAGUGCUGAAGACUGAGGAACACAGGCAACACUUCUGCACCAGGAAUCUUUGCAGAGAAGAGAAAGCAGCUUUAGAAAGGACUGCAAGUCCUGAAGGAGACGACUGCCACAGGAGCAGCUGCCAGUAAAUCCUGCCUGAUGCUAGUAUCUGUCAUCUGCUCCCCAGAUCUCCAGGGUAUAUGUCUGGUCCUCAAACAAGGAGAACACAGGGUAUAGCUCUGGGGGAUCUGUUCUUCCAGCUUCAAUUCUGCCUAUUCUCUGUAUCUCAAGGACUGGGAAAGAAGAGGAGCCAGAGAUGAAAGAGUUAAGAAAAAAAAUGCUUAGUUGACUUGGUCUUAUCCUUCCUCCCUAACAACUGUCUUCUACAAAGCUGGUGAAAACAAUAUCAUUUAACCCAGGGGAAAAGGGAGUCUCUUAGAUCUGGCAUCAUGCCUUAGCAUGCAAAAUAGGCUGUAUUUUUGUUAAUUUUUGUUCCCAGUGAGCCUUCUAGCUCUCACAGGGAGCACAAUUCAUUGAAACUGGUGGGUCUAGUUAUUGCUCUGGUAACAGUUCCCACUGUCCAAGGAAGCAGUUAAAUGGGGUUUUGUUUGGUAAGGCACAAACAGAUGCUAGACCACAAAUGCCAAAGAGCAUUGACAUAUAAAUCCAGGGUAUGGUACUCCCUGGAGUAUAUCAUUGACAUGAGGUAAGCAGGAAGAAAAGCUCAGUAAUUUCUAGUGGGGACAUAGCAGAUAAAGUAAUACAGGGAAAAUAUGUGGGCUAAAUGCUCUUUGCCAAUCUAUAAGCAAGGAUGUUCAAGCCAGAAACAGGAAUUCCACAAGGGCACUUUGACCACCUUCUUGUGAAGCUGGUGGGGAAAUGGCCCACGCAAUGAGAGUUAAACCUUUGCCUCUGCACUCUUAGCAGAAACUAAUGUGAGGAUAAUUUUACAAAUAUAUGCAUCAGAUAUUUUCAAGUCCCACAGAGCAGUCACACUACAGCCUUUCCCAUAAUUUAAC
Molecule: long non-coding RNA, 1057 nt
Filed under: Cyanistes caeruleus (blue tit)
Lineage: Eukaryota; Metazoa; Chordata; Aves; Passeriformes; Paridae
Description: lncRNA (ENSCCEG00000006177.1)
Source: RNAcentral